AGGGACUGAACCCACACCACAGCAGUGACCCAAGCUGCUGCAGUGACAACAUCACAUCCUUAACUGGCUGAGCUACAAGAGAACGCCCUCACGGUGUAUCUUAGGGGGGAAAAAAAGUGUGCUGAAAGGUUCUUCCUACUUUCCUCUUACCUGCUCAAGUUAACUACAAAUGCAGGCUAACUGCGUGAGUGGUACCUCCCUACCCCAACUUUAAAAUCUCACAUUUCUGGACAGGUGCCCCAAAUUUCAAUGUCAAAAAGAAAAUCUGACCUAUUUAUGGGAAAAACCCAGAAUAUGCUACCUGCCCUUACGAGGAAUAAGCCAUUUUAUCCUCUAACCUAGGACGGUCCCACGGGAGAAACCGAUACAGACUAACCAAUGGCAGAGAGCAUCUAAAUGCGCCAGUAGCAUGUGAUCUUGGACCAGCCCCCUUCCCUCUCUGAGCCUCAGUUUCCUAGAAUGACUUGAAAGGGCCAGGUGAGAAUGAGAUGAUCCCAAGACCCUUCUAACUUUAAAAUUACAUUCUACAGAGUAGAGUCUAUGACUUGGUGAAAAAGGAGACCUGAUAAGCUUCUUCUCCAUAAUUCAUACAAGAUGCAAAAACUGAGCUGCCUGGCAAACAUCUGAGAGCUCUUCCUGUGACCUUGUCUGCCUGGCCCAGCUAGUGGGCCAGGAUAAGCAGGCUAAGGAUCAAGCAGGGAGGUCCCUGUGUGCCCCCCACUUUCCCCUCCCCAAUCCAGCUGUGAGGUAACCGCCUCUGCUGACAUCUGGGCCGUUUCCAGCUCUUCAGAGAUUAAAGCAGCUCUAAGAAGUGUCAAGGAAAGCACUGUCUGCACCGAAUCAACUCCGAGGACACUCUCUCUAGGGAGAGCCUACCUCUCUAGGGAAGAGACCAGGAGUGAUCACAGCAGGGUCCCUGUUCCUUCCAAAUUCACCAGUUGGUUGUUUGGGUUUUUGGCUACCCCUCGGCAUCUGAUUUCCCAGGCCAGGGAUCAGAUCUGAGCCUCAGUCUGUGACCUAUGCUGCAGCUUUAGCAACACCAGACCUUUAACCCACUGUACCGGAUUACCCACCGUGCCAGGCCGGAGAUCCAGCCCACAUCACAGCACUGCAGAGAUCACUGUGCCACAGCGGGAACUCCAACCAGUUAUCUUGUUAUUAUUCUUCUCCCACAAAGUUCGAUUUAUUUGUUUGACUAUAAGAGAGCCACAUCCUCUGCACGUCAUUCUCAUGUCCUAAGACCUUCCAUGGCUCCCUCCUGAGAGAGGAUACACUGUCCCGCUUGAGCUGGACCCUCUGGUCUCACCCACGCCCCUCACCCUCCCGGCACACAGAAACACGGACUCCUCCCAAACACACGAUUCUCCUGUGUGACCCCAAGCCACUCGCUCAGGCUCCCUCUGCCUAGAAUGUCCUUCCUCGUCUCUGGAUAACCCCCGUCCACAGCUCAACACCCCCCGAAGCGAGCAGGCUUUACCACAUUGGACUGGACUCAGCUCUCCUUUCCUCCCCACUUCCCAGACUUUUUUUUUUUUUUUCUUUUUCUUUUUUUUAGGUCACUCCAGUAGCAUAUGGAAGUUCCCGGUCCAGGCGGUGAAUGUGAGUCACACCUGCAGUGCUGGAUCCUUAACCCACUGCACCACAGAGGGAACUCCUCUCCUUCUCAGACUCUAACUUUGCCACAGAUUUACAAAGCACCUGCAUAUACUUCCCACAGCAUAAUGAGACUGAACACACUGUAGUCUUUAUUGUUGCAGCCCGAUUUCUAGCAGUCAGAGGCCUUUAACAGAUGUUUGUUGCAUAAAAUGACCGAGCAGAUGCAACCCUGGCUCACGUGCAAAGGGUGGAGAGCCCUCAGUCAUCCACCCAAGUUUCAUCUGCCAUGUUGUCUAACUGGGACUCUGUCCAGGUAACAACUAGAUCUGUGACAAGAAUGUGCUGACUGAAGCUACAUGAGGUGUCAACCUCAUGACCACACCUGAAUGACGGACCCUGGGCCCAGGCGGCAUUGUAGCCGCUCCUCUCACGCUGGCAGGGUGGGACCUCAGGCAAAUCAAAUUCAAGAAGCAGAGUUCUGCAUGGUUAGACAGCUGUGUCUGAAAAAACACUUCCUGUUCUUAAAAUGAGCUUCAAGAGAGUCCUUAAAACAAAAAACAGAGAGUAAUCUUGACAAAUUGAAGGUCUGUGCCGAACAGGGUGGUUUGGUUUAUCAGCCUCGUUGGGAGAGGCUGGCUUCUGACAGGAUCUGGACAAGCAUCGCUACCAUCUCUGGCCACGCUUCCUAGACGCGGUUCACUCAUUCGACCGCCUUAUCUGCUCCAGGUCUAUCUCAUCAAACUUCCUCACCAACCACAAGCUACAGGCCCUAGGCAGGUCCACUUCCCAGACCAGAAAGUUCCCUCUGGCAGAAACAUCCCCUCCCAACUCCACGACACACCCACUCGAACCCCUCAGAGUCUAAAGCAGCCGCCUUGUCCUCUCUCGAGUCCUGAAUCCGAAGCCCUCACCCCCUCCGUGGCCCUCCGAGAGCACCACCGCGUCACUUUUUCUUUUUGCUGCACCUGUGGCACAUGGAAGUUCUUGGGCCAGGGAUCAAGCCCAUACCACAGCAGUGACAGUGCCAGGUGCCAUAAGGGAACUCCUUCCUGGAUUUUUAUAAAUUCUUUAGAGAAUUUAGAGUUCCUAAGGAACUGUAAAAAAAAAAGAUCUUACCUUACUUUUGCUCUCUGACCACAGAACUUGUCAUGUAUUUAGAGGUCAGUCGCACUGAAUCUGGAAACAGACUACUGGCACUUCAUUAAGUAGUCAAGAGUCAAAAGGUCAUCUAUUAAGCAAGACAUGGAGCUAAGUGACCCGGAUGCUCUGGUUCCCAGACCAGCAUGCUAGAACCAGUGACCCUUUUUUUUUUUUUUUGCCAUUUUCUUUGGGCCGCUCCCGCGGCAUAUGGAGGUUCCCAGGCUAGGGGUGGAAUCGGAGCUGCAGCCACUGGCCUACGCCAGAGCCACAGCAACGCGGGAUCUGAGCCGCGUCUGCAACCUACACCAUAGCUCACAACGCCAGAUUGUUAACCCACUGAGCAAGGGCAGGGAUCGAACCCGCAACCUCAUGGUUCCUGAUAGGAUUCGUUAACCACUGCGCCACGACGGGAACUCCUAGAGCCAGUGACUCUUAACAUGACGGGAGCUCACCUGGUCUUUACUAAAGGCUGUUCAGGAGUUCCUGCUGCGGUGCAGUGGGUUAAGAAUCUGACUGUGGCUCAGGUCACUGUGGGGACCCAGGUUUGAUCCCUGGCCUGACACAGUGGGCUAAAGGAUCCAAUGCUCCCGCUGCUUGAAGCUCAGGACACAGCUAUGGCUCCGAUUCAAUUCCUGGUCCAGGAACUUUCAUAUGUUGCAGGUGUGGCCAUAAAAAAAAGAAAGAAAAGUAUUUCCUGUUGUGGCACAGCAGAAACAAACCCGACUAGUAUCCAUGAGGAUGUCGGUUUGAUCCCUGGCCUCACUCAGCAGGUUAAGGAUCUGGUGUUGCUGUGAGCUGUGGUGUAGGUUACAGAUGUGGCUCAGAUUCCGCAUUGCUAUGGCUGUGGCGUAAACUGGCGACUACAGCUCCGAUUCGACCCCUAGCCUAGAACUUCCAGAGGCCGCAGGUACAGCGGCCCUAAAAAAGGCUGUUCAUUUAUUAAUUUCUUUUACUACCUCUUAUCUUUUCCAGCCCAGCCCCACUUUGGAGGGGAAAAAGGGGGGAGAGGAGAAUAUAUGAAUCAUUUUUUUCAGAACUAAAUUAUUAAAAAAAAAAUUUUUUUGGCUUUACCCAAGGCAUGCAGAAGUUCUCGGGCCAGGGAUCAAACUCACCCCACAGCAGCAAUAACACCAGAGCCUUAACCCACUAAACCAGCAGAGACUGCCUUAAUUUUUUAAGAUUGAGUCUUCUUGAAGUUAAUAAACAAUUAGAGUUAAGAAUAACUGAUAUGCUCCUUUUGUUUUCAUCUCUCUGGAAACAGUUAACAUGGAAAAACAGCAGCAAAUUAUGCACCUAAUUUGCUUCCUUAUAAAAUUUAGUUUCCAAGGAAUGCAUCGUAUGUAUCAACAUGUAACAACAGCUCCACUGUACAAGGGUUUCUGUCAGAUGCCCCAGUCUUUAAUGUCCAUGGUGUCCUGCCUCCCCGUGUCACGGGACUCACUGUGCUUCCUUCGGCUGGAGAGAACUCUCUAAAGGAUUGCAUGUGGGAGCAGCCCUUUAGGAUGAAAAAAGAACUUCCAACAUAAUACUGCAAAAGUUCCACUUGAGCAAGCCCCCCUGCUUGGGUUCAGCUUGCGGAUCGGAACCUACCAAUCCAGGGAGACAGUCCAGCGAGGCCCUGCUGAAAUUAACCAACCUAAAAGGCCCUCUUUGUCACCCCAGUGAAGUAGGACGAGUCAAUUCUAUACCAAGUGCUUUGGUCAGGCAAUAAUGGACUUUUCUUUCCUGCAGGAGAUCAGCUGACGUCAGUAGGUGGGAGCUCUGCCAAGUCACAACCGGCUGUCUCUGGGGAGCCUGGCAUCUGAAAGUCAUCAGCGCUCUCCGCGGCUGUGGGCGCUCAGGGUGUUCAUUUGCGUGACCACAGGUCACAGCAGCUCCCCCUCCCCUCUCUCUACACUUCCAGUUUCUUUUUGCUCCUCAAAGGGUCACUGCCACAGACCACCUUAAACACAGGAAAAGAUUUCACAUCGCCAAAGACCCGCUGCCACCCAACGUGCUACAACCUUUCCCCCACAGCUCUGGGAGGCAGCGGAAUGUUCUGGACGCUGCCAGUGUGCAACCCGUUCCGAGGUGGCGGCACACGGACAAGAACUGCACCCCAGGCCAGAAAUAUGCAGCUGACUGAUAAGACUCCAACGAGAAGGUUCCAGGCUGUUCCCAGCCUUAAUGGGAUUAACACCUCUUGAGAGCUACAAAGGAAGACGCUGGGAAAUGCGCCAUAAAAAAACCCAACCUCCAACCACAGCAGCCCAUCUAGCUCACAACCUCCAACCACAGCAGCCCAUCUAGCUCACAAGCCCGCAAAGGAGCCAAAUUCCAGGGCUACAAUCAACGGACUGACUGCUUAUCUCAAAGCAGUGGGUUAACCCUGAUUUUCUCAAUCAAACCUCCAUUUGUGGAGAAAGGCUGAAUGCAUUCUCUGUUCAAGGAUAGCUUCCCACUUGAGGAAACUGAAGGAAAAAGGUCGUAUUGUGGCAAAUCUUAUUAGGGAAGACUGGCUCUUUAUAAAUGCUGCAAUGCAGCGGUCAAAAUGUUAGCUGCAUCAUUCAGCAAGUGAAGUGAAUUGAACCCAGGGGAUAAAACAGGAAUUACAACUAUGUCCUCUAUUGUAAUAAAUAAAAAGAACUUGUCAGCAUUCUUACAGGACUGCUAGAUCUCUGCAAAGAAAGGGGGGUGUCUAAAGAUAGGAAUCUUGGCUAGAAAGUUCUAGUGUCACCGCAAGUCAAUGGCCAGGAAUCACUCCCCACAUCUAACACACGCUUAUACAUG
This 5505-nucleotide long non-coding RNA is filed under the name Sus scrofa (pig). Its description in RNAcentral is "lncRNA (ENSSSCG00005012965.1)". The record is from RNAcentral. Lineage: Eukaryota; Metazoa; Chordata; Mammalia; Artiodactyla; Suidae.